RNAcentral lists this ribosomal RNA (1360 nucleotides) under uncultured bacterium. RNAcentral's name for it is "bacterial SSU rRNA". It matches the Rfam family "Bacterial small subunit ribosomal RNA", at positions 28 to 1381 of the family's 1533-position model. The record is from RNAcentral.
GAUGAACGCUAGCUACAGGCUUAACACAUGCAAGUCGAGGGGCAUCAGGAAGAAAGCUUGCUUUCUUUGCUGGCGACCGGCGCACGGGUGAGUAACACGUAUCCAACCUGCCCUUUACUCGGGGAUAGCCUUUCGAAAGAAAGAUUAAUACCCGAUAGCAUAAUGAUUCCGCAUGGUUUCAUUAUUAAAGGAUUCCGGUAAAGGAUGGGGAUGCGUUCCAUUAGGUUGUUGGUGAGGUAACGGCCCACCAAGCCUUCGAUGGAUAGGGGUUCUGAGAGGAAGGUCCCCCACAUUGGAACUGAGACACGGUCCAAACUCCUACGGGAGGCAGCAGUGAGGAAUAUUGGUCAAUGGGCGCUAGCCUGAACCAGCCAAGUAGCGUGAAGGAUGAAGGCUCUAUGGGUCGUAAACUUCUUUUAUAUAAGAAUAAAGUGCAGUAUGUAUACUGUUUUGUAUGUAUUAUAUGAAUAAGGAUCGGCUAACUCCGUGCCAGCAGCCGCGGUAAUACGGAGGAUCCGAGCGUUAUCCGGAUUUAUUGGGUUUAAAGGGAGCGUAGGUGGACUGGUAAGUCAGUUGUGAAAGUUUGCGGCUCAACCGUAAAAUUGCAGUUGAUACUGUCAGUCUUGAGUACAGUAGAGGUGGGCGGAAUUCGUGGUGUAGCGGUGAAAUGCUUAGAUAUCACGAAGAACUCCGAUUGCGAAGGCAGCUCACUGGACUGCAACUGACACUGAUGCUCGAAAGUGUGGGUAUCAAACAGGAUUAGAUACCCUGGUAGUCCACACAGUAAACGAUGAAUACUCGCUGUUUGCGAUAUACAGUAAGCGGCCAAGCGAAAGCAUUAAGUAUUCCACCUGGGGAGUACGCCGGCAACGGUGAAACUCAAAGGAAUUGACGGGGGCCCGCACAAGCGGAGGAACAUGUGGUUUAAUUCGAUGAUACGCGAGGAACCUUACCCGGGCUUAAAUUGCAGUGGAAUGAUGUGGAAACAUGUCAGUGAGCAAUCACCGCUGUGAAGGUGCUGCAUGGUUGUCGUCAGCUCGUGCCGUGAGGUGUCGGCUUAAGUGCCAUAACGAGCGCAACCCUUAUCUUCAGUUACUAACAGGUCAUGCUGAGGACUCUGGAGAGACUGCCGUCGUAAGAUGUGAGGAAGGUGGGGAUGACGUCAAAUCAGCACGGCCCUUACGUCCGGGGCUACACACGUGUUACAAUGGGGGGUACAGAAGGCAGCUAGCGGGUGACCGUAUGCUAAUCCCAAAAUCCUCUCUCAGUUCUGAUCGAAGUCUGCAACCCGACUUCGUGAAGACUGGAUUCGCUAGUAAUCGCGCAUCAGCCACGGCGCGGUGAAUACGUUCCCGGGCCU